Molecule: long non-coding RNA, 1799 nt
Organism: Pan paniscus (pygmy chimpanzee)
Lineage: Eukaryota; Metazoa; Chordata; Mammalia; Primates; Hominidae
Source: Ensembl
UCUCCUCCCUGUAGCUCCUAAGAGGAAAAGCAGCGGCCGGUGGAGAGGCUAUGGGCCUAAUCUGGCUCCCGUCCCCCACCUGGGCAGGCAGACUGUGAGUGUCUGCAAGGGUCUGUUUCCUGGGCAGGUGAGAGACAGGCCUGCCAGCUCAUGCUCUCUGACAGGGCUGUGACAAUACCUUGUCAUUCCACACCUCUGCAGGGGAGAGGGGAUGAGAUGGCCAGGCUUCCCAAAGCCAGGAAGCCAGAGUGUCUGGAAGAUCAUGCGGCCUCUGUGAAGCCCCUGCAUUGUCCGUGUACCAGGAGGAGAAGCAGAGGAAUGUACAGGCAAACCCUGCCCUUGACAGAGGUGCUGGGCUGGAAGGGAAAGAGCAUGUUGCCACUGGGUCAGUAGCAUCUCUUCCUCAAAGAUGAGCCAGCCGUCAUUUGAAGAGGAGGAAAGACUGGAUUGGGGAAGAAUCUGGGGCAAAAUGAAGCCAAAAUGAGAACGAGGAGAAAAGAAGAUGCUAAGGCCGCAGAUAAGGAGGUCUUGAGUGUUACAGCUCUUUUCGAAUUUGUCUAGCAUGCUUUCUGCUUUUUACUGGAAAGUGCCCCCCCUCCAAAAAAAAAAAAACGAAUAAAUAAAAAAGAAAGAUUUAAAAAAUAAAAGAGAAAGAAGGGCCUGGGAAUUGUGGCUGCUCAGAGGACACCCAGCUCUGAGUUCAGUAGACUCUGAUGAAGUGCCGCUUCUGCUUAUGGUUGUCCCUUCCCAUCUAUCCUGGUUCUGUUUAUCCUGUCUCAUAUCUCUCAGGAUAGUCAGGGCAGCUUCCCCUGUUCUCUUGCCACUGGCUCCAACAUCCUGCCUGUCACACGUUCUAUCUUUUGCUUCUUCAAAAUAUCUCUAAGAUUGACUCUUCCUUUCCUCUCUCCAUCAAGUUCCAUCUCCCGGGCUGAUCCUGCUCCUCUGCGAUAGAUUCUGCAGAUGGUCCUGUGUGGCCCAGUCUUCCAAAUGCACCUCUUCAGGGAUGCCCAUCCUCAGUUAGAGAAACGUGAGUGACCUCGAGGCCCUGCAGGGGGUUCUUCCUUCUGACUCGGCAUACUUAUUUCUCACUGCACCUGAAAGGAAACCCUUCAAUGCAGUUUUUGGAGCUGUCUCCAGUCCCCAGUCUCUUCCUGACCCUGCAUUCCUGCACUGGCUGAGAUAAACCUUUCUCCUCCUCACUUAAUCUGCCACUUAAUCUGCAUCCUGCCAUCCAUGAAAAUACUCCAACCCAGGCUGAAGUCUCCUUCUUCGCUUGCAUAUUAAAUGAGCCUGCCAUUGCUGGGCAUGUCUCUAUCCUCUUGCUGGUGAAAAUGGUGUUGCUUUCAGCCAAAAGCCUUUGAAAACUUCACAGAGCCAUGUCAUCUGUCACAUACAUUGCAAAGAGCAAAACUGGUCAAAGUUAAAGCAAAUUUAGUCGUUUAGCAUAGGGUUGUUUUUGAAUGAUCCCAGGGAUGUUAGUUUUGUCCCCCCACCUCCCAAUUUGCUACUGCUGCUGGGGUGUCUGUGAGCCUCUCACAGCGUGUUAUUUAGGGCUGGGCUCAGGGGCGGGGGGAGACGCUCACUACACACACGCUAAUUGACUUAUUGAGUUAGUCAUUUGGUCUUUGACAAACAUUUAUUUACUGCCUACAGAGAAGGCUCAAGUCGAUUUUUACUUAUCUUCCCAAAUGGCACCAAAAUUCAACAAGAGCCACCCAACACCUAGGAAAGGACUUUGACCAAUGAAAGCAACUUGAGAACAGGUUUUGCUGCCUUCAGCUCACCUUGAGCAGGGGCCA